UGGGGGAUAUUGCACAAUGGGCGAAAGCCUGAUGCAGCGACGCCGCGUGGGGGAUGAAGGCCUUCGGGUUGUAAACUUCUUUUGCUCUGAACAAGGCAUGCUAAUGGGUGUGGUGAGUGUAGGGGUUGAUUAGCGCCGGCUAACUACGUGCCAGCAGCCGCGGUAAUACGUAGGGCGCGAGCGUUGUCCGGAAUUAUUGGGCGUAAAGGGCUUGUAGGUGGCUGGUUGCGUCUGUCGUGAAAGCUCAUGGCUUAACUGUGGGUUUGCGGUGGGUACGGGCUGGCUCGAGUGCAGUAGGGGAGGCUGGAAUUCCUGGUGUAGCGGUGGAAUGCGCAGAUAUCAGGAGGAAUACCGGUGGCGAAGGCGGGUCUCUGGGCUGUUACUGACACUGAGGAGCGAAAGCAUGGGGAGCGAACAGG
This 419-nucleotide ribosomal RNA is filed under the name bacterium. Its description in RNAcentral is "partial 16S ribosomal RNA". It matches the Rfam family "Bacterial small subunit ribosomal RNA", at positions 355 to 776 of the family's 1533-position model. The record is from RNAcentral.